Molecule: microRNA precursor, 132 nt
Filed under: Chlorocebus sabaeus (green monkey)
Lineage: Eukaryota; Metazoa; Chordata; Mammalia; Primates; Cercopithecidae
Description: miRNA (ENSCSAG00000025596.1)
Source: RNAcentral
CCUCAGCCCAGCUGCAGUUGGCGAUCUCCUUGUACUGCGCCUUGACCUCAGCGAUGAUGCUGUCCAUAUCAGGGAGCAGCUGUUGUCCAUGGACAGCACCACAGGCAUGUCCAAGAUCUGGGACCGCAGCUC